Molecule: long non-coding RNA, 2357 nt
Filed under: Heterocephalus glaber (naked mole-rat)
Lineage: Eukaryota; Metazoa; Chordata; Mammalia; Rodentia; Bathyergidae
Description: lncRNA (ENSHGLG00100038940.1)
Source: RNAcentral
CGCCACUGCUGGCGGCAGGAGCCAUCUUGUUUUCACCACGGGAGGUCAGAACGGGGGACGGAGAGCGCAGGGGAGGCCCAGGGCCCCCUCAGGACAGUCUGCCGAGUGAUGACAAGAGGGGACGCCCGAAGCCGCCCAGCCGCUUGUGCCGGGAAUUUCCACCACAGAAGAAAGCGCGCUCUGCGGCAGCCAAGAGCGGCACUGGGCCAACCCCGAGACCGGAGACCGGCGUCUGGGACUCAGAUUGCUGCUUCGGGGUUCAGCCGAGGGCGGGAGCAGGCAGAGACGCUGGACCGAAGGCCUGGAGGCUGCGUGAAGGCUUUUCCCUGCUGGGUUCCCUUAGAGACCUGAGCCGCAGAGGGAAAUUCCCAGCCCAGCCCUCCCUUCUGGCUCCUGCCUUAGAGCAUACUGGGGAUUCUUGGCUAAUUCAGUGCUCUCCUGUCACAGCAUCAGAACUCAAAGGGACCAUCAGAAAAAUCUGGGCCAAGCUCUGCAUUCACAGGUCACAGCUACUUGCAAGCCUGCAGCCUGGAUUCCGCCUGUCCUCUGCAAUACGCCGCCCCCUGCUGGCUGCAGAGGGGAUGACCUCUGGGGGGCGUCCUGCAUCUCCCACACCUUCCUAGCAGAGAGGGGCAGAUCUCUCCUCUCCUGCACCUCUUCCUACCUGGGGCGGGGGGGGGGAGUCCCGGGCCCCUCCUCAUUGCAGACCUCGAGAGAGCUACCGAGAGCUUGAAGCUUCCACUUCUCAGGGUGACCAUGUCCUCUCACUAUCCCGGACACUGCAAGGAUCUGAACCCGAAAAGCUAGCUCAGCUUGUCGUAAGGGCCAGAUCAGAGACCUGGGUGGAUUAGGAAGCAGAUGGGAGACUCCGGGGGGGCCCGGUGCAGGUACGCGGGCCAAUCCGCUAGCCCAGUCCCCCAGCCCCGGCCUCUCGCCAAGGAUGAGUAAUUUUAACUGAGCACCUUCUAUGCCAUAGCACUGUGCUGAGCACCUUAGAUGCAUAAAUCUGCCACUCGACACCCCCUGAAGCAGGUGCUGUCCUAAGCAUCACCGCACAUACAAGUGGGGAGCCAGAGGCAGGGAGGACUUCAGGGACUCUUCCGGGGGCACGUGGCCCAGACGCAGGGUGGCUGGCUCCUGAACCGCAGUGGGUGAACGCCAGCAUCGCACACCGUGAAGGACGCAGACUUGUGUCCCAGGACGCACGGGAAGCUGACUUGAUCACCGUGGGAAAGGGAGUGUGGCUUCGUGGACAGAGUCGGAAGAGCAGUGUAGUGGUGCUCACCCAUCGUCCCAGCACGCUGGAAGGCUGAGGCAGGAGGAUGGCGAGCUUGAGCCCCCGCCUGGGCAACUCAGCUACUUAGUGAGAGCCUGUUUCCUUAACGGGGAUGUAGCUCAGGGUGAAGGGCCUGGGUUCAGUCCCCAGCACCACCAAAAAUAAACAAAGAGUCACUGCCUACCUUUCUGCAGGAGCUGGACCUGAAAGGGUAAAAGCUCCUACCGAGAUUCAUGUUAUCAUCUUAGCUUUUCAAAAAGAAGUCGCUGGCGGAGGGCAUAUGACAGGAGCGUUUACAUACACAGAGGGCUUUUAAACGGCUUUUUCCUAAUGCGUUCAGGGGCAUGGCCGGCCGCCUUCUCUCCAAAGCGGGAAUUGAAAGGAAACCUCGCUCCUGCGAUCCCCAACUCAGACACCAGAUGGCGCCACGUCCUCGCGUCAAUCGCACUUGCUUCCCGCGGCCACCGCAGCGCUGGCUUGGGGUGCUCCUGAGCACGGGGCUCAAGGGUUGAGCUGCACCUUCUGAAAGCGAACAGAAGGGAGUCACCCAAGAGGGGCACCCAUCCCAGCCACCGACCCCACCCCCACUCCUCCCCAACAAGCGCGAGCAUCCUUAGAGCCCUGCCCCUCAGCCUCCCGCCACCCAGGGGAGCCCAGGGGAGCCCAGGGCAGACAUGCGCAGAAAGGGCGACUGUGUUGCCCCUACUUCAGACAGGAGGACAGGCGGGAGGCCCAGAGGGAGGCAGAGCGUCCCGUGUGACUCAGCCUGGGGACCAGCACCAGGCCCAGGUCCCCUCCCCAUGUUUUUAGAGAUGGUCUCGCUGUGCGCUCAGGCUGCCCUCCAGCUCACAACGAUCCUCCUGCCUCUGCCUCCUAGUGCUGGGAUCACAGGCGUGAGCCACCACGCCCGGCUGUGGAACCAGAUUCCCAAUCCCGGGUCCUUCCCACCUUCCCACUGUCCCCAGUGAGAAAAGGCCUCUUAGCUGAGCUUCUGGGAAGAGUGCGUGGAGACCACACACGGUGGGAAUGAGGGUUUCAACAGAGCAUCACGGGGUUCAGCGCAGGGCCGAGGACGCUGCGG